CUAGGAUUUUCAAAAAAUCGCUUUUUUUUUUUUUGCUUUAAAUAGUUCCUUAGGGUCUCAGAAAUAACAUAUUGCAGGAUUAUGGCUCGGAAAGAUCUCUAAAUAAUUUAUUUUCGAAGUUCCUUGCAAGGCUGCACGGUACGCGGCGAGCUCAUUUUGUAUGUUCUACGGGGGGUAAUAUUUGAAGGAUCUACAGCAGGUAUACGGCAGAUGUUUUCAAAGGCGCUAGUUACUUGCUAGACUAUAGUGGUCAAUUAUAUGGUGCAGGCAUUGCAGAUUAAAGGAGCAGUUAGUUCGGCCACGUACCCCUUGAACCAUAGAGGAGUCGAAGGACGACCGCUACAGCGCCACCAUUCUUCAAGAAAUAUUUAUAAGAAAUUAUUUUUUUACACCUAAAAAGAUGUAUAAUAAACUUCUUAUAUUAUAUUUUUAA
Leptopilina boulardi is the source of this 433-nucleotide long non-coding RNA. RefSeq lists it as uncharacterized. The record is from RefSeq and is a predicted model, not a curated record. The transcript is spliced from 2 exons. Lineage: Eukaryota; Metazoa; Arthropoda; Insecta; Hymenoptera; Figitidae.